RNAcentral lists this ribosomal RNA (514 nucleotides) under uncultured bacterium. RNAcentral's name for it is "bacterial SSU rRNA". It matches the Rfam family "Bacterial small subunit ribosomal RNA", at positions 40 to 507 of the family's 1533-position model. The record is from RNAcentral.
CGGCAUGCCUAAGACAUGCAAGUCGAACGAAGUGGCCCAAUGAAGAAUGCGAGCUUGCUCAAAUUCGGAUUUGGUUUACCACUUAGUGGCGCAAGGGUGAGUAACACGUGGGUAAUCUACCUUCGAGUCUGGAAUAACAGUUAGAAAUGAUUGCUAAUGCCGGAUGAAAUUGGGAACGAAAUUUCAUUCUUAUUAAAAGGAGCCUUUAAAGCUUCGCUUGAAGAUGAGCCUGCGACGUAUUAGCUAGUUGGUGGGGUAAGGGCCUACCAAGGCAACGACGCGUAGCCGACCUGAGAGGGUGAUCGGCCACACUGGGACUGAGACACGGCCCAGACUCCUACGGGAGACAGCAGUUAGGAAUAUUCGUCAAUGGGGGAAACCCUGAACGAGCAAUGCCGCGUGAAGGAUGACGGUCCUAUGGAUUGUAAACUUCUGUUGUUAGGGAAGAACGACUAGUGUAGGAAAUGACACUAGAGUGACGGUACCUUUCAAGAAAGCUCCGGCUAACUACGUG